Nycticebus coucang (slow loris) is the source of this 666-nucleotide long non-coding RNA. RefSeq lists it as uncharacterized. Lineage: Eukaryota; Metazoa; Chordata; Mammalia; Primates; Lorisidae. The record is from RefSeq and is a predicted model, not a curated record. The transcript has 3 exons.
GGUAAAUAAUACUCUUGUAGAUGGAUGGGUAGGUGGGUAGAUAAUACCCUUCUAGACAGACGGGUGGAUGGACAGAUAAUACCCCUAUAGAUGAACAGGUGCUUGGAUGGGCAAAUGACCACAGGACAAGCAGGUCAAACUCCAUAUAGGAGGUCUGUACACUCAGAACUGGGGACAACAGAACUGGCUGUGCUGGUGGCCCUCACCUGGCCCUCAGCCACAUUCCCUGGGAAAGGAUAGAAGCCUCUGGUCUUGCUCACUUGGCCCUUGGCACUCUGAGCCCCAUACCCUGGUGUCUAUCUUCAUCCACUGCGUCUGCCCCAAGAAGCAGGUUGUCAGGAGCUGUUUCCCUGGGUGGUAUCGGAUCUGCCACAGGAAAUCCUGGAGGAGGGAGCCCCAGGCGCCAAUCUCUGGCCCACCACCAUCACCUUCCUCACUCUCUUCCUGCUGAGCUUGUUCUACAGCACGGCUCUGACCGUGACAAGCAUCCGGGGCUCACCUAGCAGCAGAGAAGGUCCUCAAUAUUGAGCAGAGCCUGCAAGGAACAGGGAGAGAGCAUGGAGAAGCCUCUCUGAGAAGCCAGCUACACAUGCCAGAACUCAACCCCACAUGAGGCCAACAGCUGCCCCACUUGCCUGCCUUUCUGUGCAAUAAAAUGAUCCAAAG